UUUUUGUAGUUUGCUCAUCUUUAAUAAAUAACUAAAACGGUCUAGAAAAUUAAGGACGUCUUUGACCGUUGCGCCUUUUUUAGCGUUUCAUGUUGUUUGUUAAAUUAAAACAAGUUAAACUUUUAAAAACGUAAAUAAACGAAUAUGUACACAAAUAAAUAAAUGUAGAAUAUUUAAGUUAUAGUUAUCGAUGUAGAAUGCGCCAUUGGCCUCGAUAUAUUUUUAGGUAUUUGAUGUUAUUUAUUUAUUUAUUGUUUGUUUGUAGGGCUAAGCAAGUUAUUUCUUCCAGCCCUAGCAAUAUUUCUGAUUUGUAAUAAUAGAUGAGUGCAUCAAAGUCAAUACAUUGUUGUUAACAUACAUUUGAAGCAUAUGAUCAGAUGCAUUGAAAAAGGUCAAAUCUAAACACACACACACACACACACACACACACACACACACAAAUAUUUAAGACUCAAAUCAAUGUGCGUCCCAAACCCCCAAAAUCAGAAGGUCCCCACAUGAAUCAGUGAUCCAACUACAAACCCAGGCUUGGUUUGCAACAGAUCAGGCUUACAGACACGUUUGGGAUUCAUAUUCUUCUUUUUAAUAAAGGGACUGUUAGAUAUUUUGACACAAACAAUUAAGAGCAAAGGUUGGAAGGCAGGCAGAAUUGAGAAACACAAGCCACUGAGGCCAGACAGGACAGGCAAAUUAAUGCACAAGAGUAAUUGAAGGCAUGACUGGAACAGACAGGGUCCCGAUGACUGCGAAUAGACAACAUCAGUGAGAAUGUUCAGGCUCUGCAAACACAUGACAAGACAAAAUUGAAGCUCCAUCAGAUGGAGUGAGGAGGGAUUUAAGGCACAGUUUGUUGUGUUGCUAUAAAUCAGGUUCAGCACAUAAACGACAACAAUGUUUCCAUCAAAGCAGGAAUCAACAGCAUUACAAUAAAGCUGUAAGAUACAAUGUUACAAAAACUGAUUUGCUCUUUGUGCUCACUGCAUGCUACUUUAUUUUGCUGAUAAUUUUCUACAUGUUCAGAAACACUAAAAAGACACAGCUGAUGCGUUUAUCAGUCCAUUAAGUGAUUUAUUCACAUGAGUAAUGUGGACUAGCACACAUUCAAGCUUGAUUGAUUUUUGCAAUAAAAACUAAAAUUAUUUUCA
This is a long non-coding RNA of Cyprinus carpio (common carp), 1145 nucleotides long. The record is from Ensembl. Lineage: Eukaryota; Metazoa; Chordata; Actinopteri; Cypriniformes; Cyprinidae.